This is an RNA transcript of Anolis carolinensis (green anole), 6777 nucleotides long. It is a transcript of the gene named RWD domain containing 3, with no coding region annotated. The record is from RefSeq and is a predicted model, not a curated record. The transcript has 5 exons. NCBI's taxonomy places the organism in Eukaryota, Metazoa, Chordata, Lepidosauria, Squamata, Anolidae.
GCCUUCGGAGGCGGAAGAGGAAGAGGCGUUUUUUCUCUCCUGGCAGAAGCAGCGAAGGCGAGCCCUGGCUCUUGGGGGCUGCAAUGUCUGGACUGGCCCUGGAAGAGCUCUCGGCCAUUGCCGCCAUCUACUGCGGGCAGGAGGAGUGCGAGGUCCUGCGGGUGUCAGAGACUGAGGGGAUCUCAUUUCGAAUUCAGACCAGUGUGGAAGGACCUUUGGGCACAGAUGUAUUGUUAAAGCUGCUUUUUCAUUUACCGAGCAGUUACCCGUCAAGCCUGCCUAAUAUCUCUGUUGAUUCUGAGCAGCUUACAAGGACACAAUGUAUAGCUGUGAGAGGAAGAUUACUUGAGGAAGCAAAGAGACAUUUUUCACAACCCAUGGUACACGAGCUGAUUCUCUGGAUACAGCAGAAUCUUAAGCAUGUUAUCGAGCAAGCUGAAACUUCAGUCUGCUGCCAGAAAAGCACUCUAUCAACAUGCACCGCUGAGGAUGUCGCCGUCUGGACCAUCCUUUUGCAUUUAGAUCAUAUGAGAGCAAAGGGCAAAUAUGUCAAAACAGUGGAAAAAUGGUGUUUAGAUCUAAAUCUGACUGGAAGACUGAUGUUCAUGGGCAAGAUGAUUCUGAUUCUUCUUCAAGGAGAAAGGAAAAACAUUAAGGAAUACCUCAUCCUUCAUAAAACUAGCAAGGUGGACGUGGAUUCAAGUGGAAAGAAAUGUAAAGAGAAAAUGAUUAGUGUGCUCUCUGAAACAAAAGUGCAGGCGGAACACAGGAGGUUUCAAGAAUUUCAAGUCAAAGAGUAUUUGACUCUGGAUGAGCUGCAAAACGAAUUCAAGGUUGCAGGUCUCGCAGAACUGUUCAGUGAAUUUGUGCUAGAUCGGUUAAAGUAAAUUUAAAGAAAACACAUCUGGUUGUGACUAAAGCUGUCAUUGAAUAGAGCCGGUGGAUGCCAAGAGAAGACAAAAUGAAGGCUUUGGUAGUGAGCAGCAUUUAAAACGUUUCUCUAUUGCAAAAUGUCAUGGGGAAGAAAAGUCUUCUUCGCCAGAAACAAAAGACUGUUAUACAAGGAACAGACAAUGCUUUUGCCUGGUUGCCCUGACAUCUUCUUCAGUGUAUUUUUGCAGUUUCUCAUCGGUUGAUAUUUAAGAGCUGUAGGUCAGCUGUGAAAGACGAAUUUGUUCAGAGUGAGUGUGCCCUUGCCUGCUUCUGAGGGCGAGAGAAUGUGACAUCCCUAAACUUCCCAAGUGGUUUCCAUGGCUAAUCAAGGAUUUGGACCCCAGCCUCCAUUGUCAUAGUCCAACACUCAAACCAUGCCGACUCUACCAUUACAACGAUGAUUUUUUUGCCUUUUUUCCUGAGCAACUUUACACAAUGGAUUUGGUUGUCUACUUAGCCAUACUUCUAUGAAUGUUCUGCAGAUUUCUCAAACUGAAAAAAAAACUAUUUAUCAUACUCUUUCCAACAUCCAUAAUAAUGGUGAUGUCUGCUGUCCUGAUGUAUAUAUUAUAGAGGUAUGCUUACAUAAGAAAGUACUAUUAUUUAUUACUAUUUUAUUAUUUUACAUCCUGCCUUUUCCUCACCCCUGGAAUUCAGAGCAGCUUACAAAAAAUCAAGAGUUAUAGACAGAAGUUCAGAUCAAUGAAAACAUACAAAAUGUAAAUAUUACGGAAUUAACUAUAGAGUUAAUAACAGUUUAAAACCAAACUCAUUAAAAUGCAGACAAUCAAGUGCAUUAUUAAAAGUGUAGUUCCUAUGAGCCAGGCUUCUUCAACUUGUGGCUCUCUAGUGGUUUGGAUUUCCAACUCCCAGAAGCCCUAGCCAGCUUGUUCAAUGGUCUGGAAUUCUGGGAGCCGAAGUUCAAAACACUUGGAGGGCCACAGACUGAAGAGACCUGAUCUGAGGAGUUCCUAAAAGUCCUGCCAAGUAAAUAGCUGACAAACCAACACCUAAAUCUGUCAGAAGGGAACAUGAGCACGCUCAGCAAUCUAAUCUAAUCUAAUCUAAUCUAAUCUAAUCUAAUCUAAUCUAAAUCUAAAUCUAAUCUAAAUCUAAAUCCAUAAUAAAAGUGAAAACCCAUAUGUGUGUAUGUGACACAGGUGUCCGCUCACACAGACAGCCUCCAGCCUCCACAAACAGGCUACAGUUCCCAGUGCCAAGAAGCCAGCAAGUCACUCCUUUGCACUGACAUUGCGGUUACAGCGACCUCUAUGAACAUGCAGCCCAACCCCUGCCAAUGUCUUUCCCAAACACUACGCCCCCCCCACCCAAGGAAUGCUUUAUUUGGGGACCAUUUCAUCCUAAAUUUGGCAUUUUUCUCCACCACAGGCAGGCAUCCCAGGGUUCUCAAUUGCUGUGGAAUUUGCAUGGCCCCGCCCACUGCCCUUCCCUUUCAAAUCUGGCAGAGCACAAUUCAGCUGCAACUAAACUUACUGGAGGAGUUUGGGGGAUUGACUGCACAUGGUGGAAGUUGUAGUUCACCCUGCAUCAAGUCAGAGCACUGUGACUCCUACUAGGGAAUUUAGAGGAGUUGUAGUUCAUCAACACCCAGAACGCUAUGAACCCAAAUAAUGAUGGGUCUGGAUCAAACUUCCCAUGUAUACCUGAUAUGCCCAGAUUUGAAUACUGGUGGGUUUUGAGGGGAAUUGGCCUGGACAUUUGGUAGUAGUAGGUGCUGAGAUUUAUAGUUCACCUGCAAUUGAACCCCACCCAAGAUGGACCAGGACCAAACUUGGCACACAGAGUCCCCAUAACCAAUAGAACAUAUUGGACAAGUUUGGGGAAAAGGGACUUAUAGUUCACCUGCAUCCAGAGAAACAGUGACCCCCACCGACAAUGGACCAGGACCACACUUCGCACAGAGAAACCACAUGACCAACUGAACAUAAUGCAGGUGUUUUUGGGAAUGGACCUUUAUUUUAGGAGUUGUAGUUCACCUGCAUCCAAAGACCACUGAACCCAGCCAGUGACAGAUCUGGACCAAACUUGGCACACAGACUGAACAUUGCCUGCUGUGGAUACUGAGAGAUGUUUCGGGGCAAUUGCCCUGGGACCCUGGGAGUUGUAUUAGUUCACCCCCAUCCAGAGAGUACUGCAGCACACCUGGUACACAGGUCCUAAAUGACCAACUUAUAAUACUGGCAGGGUUUGGGGAAGAUUGAGCCACGAUUCUGGGAAUUGUACUUCUCCCAUUCCAAACAGAAUACAUAACAUUGAAAGACAAAUAAUACCAUUCGCAAAUGACCCAGGCACUGCCGGGUCCCCAAGCUAGUACACAAUAAAAUACAAUCACAAUUAAAACAUAUAGACAAAAUCAUAAAACAUAUAAUACAUUAAAACAUACUUGAGCAAUAGCUAAUAGGUGCAGUGAGCAUAUUCCACUGGGGGCAAGGCAAAUGUUGUUUGUGUACAAUAUCUUAUAAACCUCAACUGAAUGGACCAGAAGAAGUGCAGUAACUGGGUCUAGGUGGAGGUAAGGGACAGUCAAUGUAUGCCAAUUUAAUCAAACACACAUUUAAAUAGCCAGGUUUUCAGAUGUUUACAGAAUGUGGCCAGCGUGGGGGCUAGUCUAAUUUCUCUCUGGAGGGAGUUCCAGAGCCGGGGGGCCACCGCCGAGAAGGCCUCCUCCCUCGUCCCCACCAACCAUGUUUGAGACGGCCGGAAGCGAGAUGAGGGCCUCCCCAGCAGAUCUCAGAGACUGCGCAGGCUCGUAGUAGGAAAUGCCAUCACAAAGAUAAGCCAGACUCGAACUGUUUAAAGCUUUAUAGGUGAUAAAAUGUCUUAAAUGCCCUUAUAUACCCUUUAGGGGGACAUGGUGGUAUUUCCAUUGCGUUGGUAGGCCAUUUUAUGCUUAAGAGAGGCCUUUUUAACCAACGUGAAGUGCUUUCUGAAAAAGGUCUCUUCUGGAAUUAAAUGUUGUUGGAACCACAUGCAAAAUGGCAUACAAAAAGGCAUGCAUUUUUUAAAAAAAAUUCUGGCUAAAUUUUUUGAAAACCCUUUUUUUACCCUGGGGGUGCAGGGCCUCUAAAUAUACAUUCUAAAAUUUUAUUUUGGGGAUAUUUUGUAGCAAAAGAAGUUUGGGGAAGGAGACAUUAAUUUUUUUUUGCAAAAUAAUGUUUAAUGCCCUAGUAACUACCACAUUUUGCUCACCCUGUUUAAAGAGUGUUUUAAAAUAGGAUUUAUGUUGUGUUUUCAAAUUUCUUGUAACCAAGAUGGCCUUAUGCUGGAACAAACCAUUGAUUCUUCUGUCGAAGUUAUAUCAUGGAAGUCCAGGAUCUCAGAUGAAAUCAUUCUUAUCCCUUCAAUCUUGAUAGUACUAAAGUUGACCAUUGGGCAUUCCCCAUGCAAAGCGUGGGUUCUUUUAUUGACCUGUUGCCCUUUGCAUUUGAAAAAAAAUAACUGUAGUAGCUAGCAAGACACCACAGCCAUAUCAAAAAGAGAAACUGCAAACAACGUGUGAUUGUUAAAAAAUUGGCAAUAUUUGGAACGAGUCUUAUUGUUUCCAUCCCCCAAAAAGAGGCUGUGCCCAUCAUUUUUCUAUAUCAAGAGAUGAUAUUGAAACCUCUUGACUGUAAGUCUGAAAGUUGUGGUCUCAUCUAAUUCAGUGGAAAUGCUUUUGAAUUUAAAACCUGAAGCAGAACUAAAAUGUUGUUUAAUACUAGAUGUGAGAGCUGAAAAGGUUACUUUUUUGAUCGCAACUUCAAGAACCUGAUACUACAUUUCUGUGCUAUAAAUGUAGGAAGCAUUACACUAGAUAUUUCACAUUCCCAAUUCCAUUGCUGGAAAUUUUCAUUCUGGAUCAGAGCUGCUUGUUUUUCCCUUGGUGCCUGAUCUGUCACUUCUGACACUGCAGACCUCAUAUGGGAAUGGUUGGAAUAAGUUUCUCCAGAACAGAUAAGAGUAUAUCCCCGGAUGUUUUGGCCUUCAACUCCCAGAAAUCCUAACAGCUGGUAAACUGGUUGGGAUUUCUGAGAGUUGUAGGCCUGGGGACCCACCUGGGGACCCACAGGUUGAGAACGACUGCUUUAGAAAGCUGCAUCAAACAGCUCUACAUAGUAAAUGUAGCUCCAGCUAGUAAGUCCUCAGCUCAGUUAUAUCCCCUUGCACCCUCUGAUUUGUAUUUCCUAGAGAUUAAUCCAAGCUGCUGUUGGUGUGUCUUGUUUUUCACUUCUCUGUGUGUCUUGCCCUUAACAAAUCAUGGAUCACUUCCCCACAUUCUUAGUGAUGUUGAGAAGUACUCAACUGCAUACAAUAUGGCUGAACUUCUUUGGAGUUCAUCAAGCUUUAAUGAGCUUCAUAAUUUUUUCGGCAGUGUUCAAUUUCAAAACAUAUGGUAAAUGUCAUUUUAAUCCACACUUCCUUAUUUAAUGAAACGACAAUAAACCAGUCUCUUUAUAGGUUUUUGUGGUAAGACACUUCAGCAUUUUGUCUAUUGAUCUAUAUGAUUUUGAAACAGAUUUUCCACAUCACAUUUAUACCUUACGCAUUUCAGAUGGCAACAUCUGUUUUUCUGACACUUAAGAAACACAAGCAAAACAUGAAAUGCAUGGAACAUUUAAAGGGGAGGCGAGCAUGUGUAUAAAACAUUUGUGGAGAUGUGACAUGGUACAUUGGACUCAGGCUAUGGAUAUCAAGAAAGUUUGCAUAUUUUAUCUUCCUUGACUGAAAUAUACCUGUAUAUCAUCUCAUUCUAUUUUCAUAGUGAUUUUUUUUUUGCAUUUGGGUUUUUCCCCCCAAAAUUGUUUGUUAAAAAAAUCAAAUGUUUUUGUGCGAAAUACAGGGUUUUGCACAAAAAAUGUGUUGUGCAAAAAAUGUUCUUGUACAAAGAAAUGUAUUCUGCACAAAGUACAAUUUUUUUUUUACAGAAAUGAAAUUUUCACCAGAAACACCUUGCAUUUUUUAAUUUCAUGUGCAGGAACAAAAUAAGCACAAAUUUAUGCUGCUGGCUUACACAAUAUUCUCCUAAAUUGUUUCCUCCUUUUUAUGUUCUGAGAUAGUGGUGUUGCUCUUGACUGGUAGUAUCUGACCAAUCUCUAGAUUUAUGGUUUAGCGGCAGCACUUUAUAAAGAUUUGAACUUGAAUUAGACAUCUCAGUGUUAAACCCAGUGCAGAGAACAGUUAAUGCUUUUAUUACCUGCUACUGUAACUCAUCCUUCCCUUCUAAUGCAGACUGUGAACAUAUACUGUUCUAAUGCAGAAUGUGAGUUCACUCUUAUACAGAUUGAGCAUCCCUUAUUGGGAAAUGUGAAAUCCAAAAUACUUCAUUAUUUGAAAUUGUUCUAAUUGGUGGCUGAGAUAUCAACGCGUUUGCUUACUAAAGGUUCACUGUACACAAAUUUUCUUUCAUGCACAAAAUUAAUUACAAAUAUUGUAUAAAAUUAUCUUCAGGCUAUGUGUAUGUGAAACAAAUUCAUUUUUAGAUUUCGGUUCCAUCUCCAAGAGAUCACAUUUUGUAUGUGUAUGCAAAUUCAGGUAUUCCAAAAUCUGAAAAAAAAUCCAAUUCUGGCCCCACGCAUUUUGGAGAAGGUAUACUCAAUCUGUACAAACUAAUGCAUGUUGUUGUUGUUGGUUAUUCGUUCAAUUGCUUAUGUAGCUUAUGCACAUGCACAUGCUACACAAAUCUGCUAAAAACCUCAGACCAAUUCAGUGAACCAUUUUGCUAUAUCUCUACAAUGAACUUUUUUUUUUGGACUGGCAAAACUCUUUACUGCAUUUCCUAGGAUUCUUUAAGGGAAGUAUGUUAUGACUGUAAACUUCAGCUCUGUAGUAGAUGAUGAUAAUAAU